Molecule: unclassified non-coding RNA, 1150 nt
Filed under: Hevea brasiliensis (rubber tree)
Lineage: Eukaryota; Viridiplantae; Streptophyta; Magnoliopsida; Malpighiales; Euphorbiaceae
Source: RNAcentral
GGAAUGUGGGUAAGGUGAGUGAGUCAUAAAAUUCUGGUAGUCCCUAGGCUUAAGGUAAGAGUCUGACUCUACAAGUUCGUCUAUCGGCUCAGGUAAUCGUUAGAUUUCUGAUUCACUCGACCUAUUUUAUACAAUACAGUUGCUAUUGAGCUUCUUAGCUAAUCUUUUGAUUGAGCUACUUCGCCCGCCCACGUACUUAUACUUAUCUUUAAGUAGUAGCUGCUCGUUCCUAAGCGAAAGAUAUGAGCUAUAUCGAUGACAGGAAGAACAAGAGAUCGACGAAGGUUUGAAGACGCGUGAGAGCUGCUUCGCUCGUUAUCCGUUUAAACGCUUAGCUUCCUUCCCUUUCUUUGGAAUCGAGUGAAAGUUCGAUUCCAAAGAAAUGAAUGAACCAAGCUUCAUGCCAUAGCCCCUUCUUUCCUACCUGAAUCAAGGAAGCCAAACCCUCGUGCCAAAGAAUGCGGAAUUACAUGCCCUAUUCCUAUACCUAAAAACUCUUCCUGCGUACUUGACUCAAAAGCUUUUGGCUAGGCUUUCAGCCUUCUCUUCUCUGAUAGUUCAUUCCACCUAUGCUAAGAAAACGAGUUCCUGUAUUCAACGUAAAGUCAACUCUUUCAUCUCCUAUUGCUCCAGCUCCUAAGGAAUGAGAUUAGCUUGAUUACGCACCUGAUUGACUCUUAGUUACUGAAAGCGCUGAUGAACGAUCUUCCUUCUUUUAAGAUGCAACUCGGAUUCCUUCUUCACGGCUUGAAGCCGGAUAGCUUGAAGCUUAAGGGCUCUCGGAAUUCCCUUUCAAGCUUUCUCGAGUCACCCUAACGUAACGGCUAACAGGAGUUAAUUCUUUCAGACUAGCUUGCUUUGAUCGCUAGGACUCUGUAUCGGCCUAAGGGCAUCAGAUCGAGUGAAUCGGGGAUAGUCCCAUUUCCUUUUUUCUUCGGAUUCCCGUAUCGAGUCCUUGAGUUCUUUCUGUCGAUGGAGUCAAUGCGAGAAGUAGGCGGUAGCCUACCUCGAGUCGAUUACGUGUUGGAUCCGUCUAAACCGAUGUUGCAAUCAAUGCUUAACAAAUAGGAUUUAAAGUUGUCUAGUGAAAUCCUUCAUCGCUUCGGCCAUGAGCGGUCCAUAGAGCGCUUUCUCCCUAUAACCAGCUUUC